UCUUUUUAAACCUUCUCAUGUCUGGACACCCUCUCAGCUCUUCACUAAUUGAAUUCCAGAGCUUCACACCACAGACCGAGACACAAAAACUCUUUCUGGUAGUGAGAGCUCUAGCAUGUUUGAAUUUUAAAUGUUUGUUUUUUCAAU
Thalassophryne amazonica is the source of this 147-nucleotide long non-coding RNA. RefSeq lists it as uncharacterized. The transcript is spliced from 3 exons. NCBI's taxonomy places the organism in Eukaryota, Metazoa, Chordata, Actinopteri, Batrachoidiformes, Batrachoididae. The record is from RefSeq and is a predicted model, not a curated record.